ACCAUUUUUAAGAGAAAGAAAAAAGUCUUCGUAUUGUUACUGAGAAAUCUAACAUCUCCUUCCCUUUGCUCCGUCUUGUCCUCGUUGGCCGCUGCUCACCGUCUGCCGCUCGUCGUCCAGAACUACCGUAUGCAACUUAGUCAUGAUUAAGGCGUGGACUUGAGAUUUGACAUGCACUACUAAUAAAUAUUUUCCAAUUUUAUGGACUCCCAAGAAUCUAUGUUGUAAGAAGAAUGCAUGGAAGUCAAUUUGUUCUCCUUAAGUAGGAUUCCCACAAUGCAUUAUUCUUAAAGAAGGUUAUAAUCAAAGAUGAUCCACAAGAUGAUGAAAGUGGUGAAGAUUUGAAAUUACUGAAGACAACUAUACUAUGUUAAUUUAAAAAUUUAUAGUACUUAAAUUGAUUUUUAACAUGUGUUUUUACAUAAAAGAGAUUCUAUUAUGUUUCAUAUUAUUAACUAAUGUUUUCUAUACAUAAUAGAGAUUAUAUAACAUUUCAUAUUACUAA
This is a long non-coding RNA of Lathyrus oleraceus (garden pea), 505 nucleotides long. RefSeq lists it as uncharacterized. Lineage: Eukaryota; Viridiplantae; Streptophyta; Magnoliopsida; Fabales; Fabaceae. The record is from RefSeq and is a predicted model, not a curated record. The transcript has 4 exons.